UUGACUACAAGGCUUUAGAUUGACCUAUACUUUAUCUGGGUCUUCCUUUGGGAGGGAAUCCAACUGCUUGUGGAUUCUGGGAUCCAGUGAUUGAGAGAAUCUCUAGGAGAUUAGACAGGUGGCAAAAGGCUUAUUUAUCUUUCGAUGGUAGGAUAACUCUCCUACACUCAUGCCUAUCCCACAUCCCUAACUACUUUAUUUCUCUGUUUAAGAUUCCUGUUUCAGUGGCUGCAAAAGUUGAGAGGAUGCAAAGGGACUUUCUUUGGUCAGGGGUUGGGGAAGGUAAAAGAGACCAUCUUGUUAGUUGGGAUGCAGUGUGUAAGCUGAUGGUAAAAGGGGGUUUGGGGAUUGGGAAGAUUCCUUUAAGGAAUCGCGCUCUUUUAGGGAAAUAGUUGUGGAGGUUUCCUAGGGAGAGUACAGUUCUGUGGCAUUAGGUCAUUCUUAGCACCUAUGGGACACACUCAAAUGGUUGUGAUGUCAACACUUUAGUCAGGUGGUCACAUCGUUGUCUUUGGAAGGCUAUUGCAUAAGUCUUUCAGGAUUUUUCCAAGUAUACUCAAUUUGUUGUAGGAGAUGGGGAAAGAAUUCGUUUUUGGGAAGAUUUGUGGUGGGGGGACCAAAUCUUCAAAGACCAAUGUCCAAGACUAUUUAGAGUAGUAACGGAUAAAAAUAUUCUUAUAUAUUCAAUUCUCGGUUUGGCUCGCCCUUUCUCAUGGAACUUUAAUUUCCGUCGUAAUCUAACCGAUUCUGAGAUAGAAGAUCUAGAACGCCUCAUGUGCUCUUGAUUGUAUGAAUUUAUCCACUUCCGCUUCAAAUGCGAGAUCUUGGUCCUUAUUGUCUUCAAGAUUGUUUAUAGUCAAGUCUUUCUUUACAACCUUGUCCCAAAUGCCUGAUUCAUUUCCAUUUUUCCCCAUUAAGUUUGUGGAAAUCUCAAGUCCCUUUCAAAGUUAAGGUCUUUGUCUGGCUUGUGGCACACAAGAAGGUAAAUACCAAUGACUUGCUACAAUUGAGGAGACCCCACAAAGCUUUUAGCCCUGACAUUUGUAAGUUGUGUAUGGAGCAAGGAGAAUCAACAGAUCAUCUCUUCCUUCAUUGUUUUGUGACGUUGGGGUUGUGGCACAAACUAUUUCAGCUAGCCAAGAUGGAUUGGGUUCCUCCGAAAAGCAUUUCAGACAUGAUGUUCAUCAAUUAUAAAGGUUUUGGCAAGUCCAAGAGAGGGUUAGUUUUGUGGCAAAACGCGUGCAUAACUUUAAUUUGGGUUAUAUGGCGGGAAAGAAAUGCUAGGAUAUUUGAGGACAAAGCUAGGAAUUCAGAGAAUCUUUGGGACUCCAUUCAUUUCCUCGCUUCUUUUUGGGCUUUUUGUUUUGUGGGUUUUAAGGGCAUCCCCCUUAACGUAUUACAACUAGAUUGGCUAGCAGUGUGUAGUUCCAAUGGGACAAUGUAGUGUCUUGUUAUUUUUUUGUGUUGUUUAGUUUUACCUUUGGUAGGAGGAUUUCUCAUCCUCCUUUUGUACUAUUUUUUUCUAUCAAUAUAUUCAUGCGUGGUUUCCUAUCAAAAAAAAAAAAAAAAAUUGUGUUAUUCUUGCACUUAUCACUUGUUCAUUAGCAUUUUCAAUUGUUUCCCUACGCCCUCAAAUGUAACUUGAUUUGAACCAUGUUAGUUGUUGAGCUGCUUAUGGGCACAUCCCAUUUAAAUUCUUAUGAGUACACCUAAGAUGUUUUUUCAAUUCAUAUUAAUCCAGGCUUGUUUUAACCCCCACCUAGUAACCAUCCUGCUUGUUUCUUCCUUCCUUUACUUCUUCAUGGUUGAACUUCAUUUCACACAGCAUGCCACCUUAUAGUACUUUAGAAGUAUAGGAAUAUGGUUCCAUUACCAAAACAUUUACAGCUACUACUUGUGCUAUUUUAACUUUUCCUAGAUAUCCUAUUCAGGGAGAAGUCCUUGUUUUUUGGUGUGAAUUAUUAAUAAGAGUAAAUAUAUUUAUAAAUAGUUUCAAUGAGUUAUUGCAAUCUUCCCGUUUAAAUCUCUUGCAUCCCAAUCAGAUAAGGCCACAAAAGUGCAGUGGUUAGCUCAUUUAAGAAUAUCCUGACUCUCUGCCCAGAUUAAUUAAUUGGGUUACAUAAUAUAGGUGCACUUACCUUGUAUCAGAAUAACCUGAUUUAAUGAGCAGUUGAUGAGCUUGGCCUAUAAAAUCAGCCCUUACUUUGAGAUAAAACUAAUUUAAGAGAUAUACUCAAAAGGAAAGAAGGUAAGGAGGUGGGCAUGGGAGCGAAAGGUGCUAAGGUUAUGUGUGUGAUGGUCAUUUUGGUGGUUAUGCUAGCCCCUCAAGUCACAGCAGGGAUAUAUACCUGUUGGGGUGGGUGCUAUAACCAGUGUGUUAUCGAAAUAGGUCAUUCUCAGAUACCAAAUCUGCCAUGUACUUGGAAAUGCUUAAAUGGCUGUCUUCCUUCUCUAGGUUCUGUUUCCAGUAAGUAUUGCUACCUCGGUUGCUCUUUGGAUAGGUGCAUCGAAUUCUCUGGUGAUGUACCGCAAAUGGACGGCUGUGUAAGCAAAUGCUCUGAUCCAUGCCAGUGAAGUCUCAAUGUUUUGGCAUUGUCUCCAUGUUCAAGAUUAGCCACCUUUAUAUAUGAUAUAAUGAAUAAAGCCGUGUUACACUUCAUCUAUGAAUCAGAUUAGUAUAUAAAAUGAAAGAUUCCAUCGUGGUGAUC
Long non-coding RNA from Vitis vinifera (wine grape), 2708 nucleotides. RefSeq lists it as uncharacterized. The record is from RefSeq and is a predicted model, not a curated record. NCBI's taxonomy places the organism in Eukaryota, Viridiplantae, Streptophyta, Magnoliopsida, Vitales, Vitaceae. The transcript is spliced from 2 exons.